Molecule: transfer RNA, 75 nt
Filed under: Dasypus novemcinctus (nine-banded armadillo)
Lineage: Eukaryota; Metazoa; Chordata; Mammalia; Cingulata; Dasypodidae
Description: tRNA-Ala (TGC) (tRNA-Ala-TGC-10-1)
Rfam family: tRNA
About the family: Transfer RNA (tRNA) molecules are approximately 80 nucleotides in length. Their secondary structure includes four short double-helical elements and three loops (D, anti-codon, and T loops).
Source: RNAcentral
GGAAUGGGUAUAGCUCAGUGGUUGAGCAUGUGCUUUGCAUGUACAAGGUCCCAGGUUCAAUCCCUGGUACCUCUU